UACGGGGGGAGCAAGCGUUGUUCGGAAUUACUGGGCGUAAAGGGCGCGUAGGCGGGAUGGCAAGUCGGUCGUGAAAUCCCUCGGCUCAACUGAGGAUCGUCGAUCGAUACUGCCGUUCUUGAGGAUUGCAGAGGAGACUGGAAUUCCCGGUGUAGCGGUGAAAUGUGUAGAGAUCGGGAGGAACACCGGUGGCGAAGGCGGGUCUCUGGGCAAUUCCUGACGCUGAGGCGCGAAAGCGUGGGGAGCAAACGGG
RNAcentral lists this ribosomal RNA (253 nucleotides) under uncultured bacterium. RNAcentral's name for it is "partial 16S ribosomal RNA". It matches the Rfam family "Bacterial small subunit ribosomal RNA", at positions 524 to 776 of the family's 1533-position model. The record is from RNAcentral.